Molecule: RNA transcript, 4130 nt
Organism: Hirundo rustica (Barn swallow)
Lineage: Eukaryota; Metazoa; Chordata; Aves; Passeriformes; Hirundinidae
Exons: 7
Source: RefSeq, a predicted model, not a curated record
GGUGUUCUCCUCUCAGGAUUGAGGAGCUGUAGGCUGGGUGCUGCUUCUGUUCUGCCCUGGGAACCCUUGGGCUUGGAGAGAAGCCUGAAGAUGGGCUGGGGAGACAUGAUCUGGGAUAUUCCCCCCUCCUGAUGUUUGGUACCAGUGCAGUAGGAAAGUCCAGGUUUCCAUCUAGCUCAGGAUUUCUUGGUCAUGGGACCAGAACUCUGGGAGAUGCUGGAGUUUGAGGGGGUAUUGUGCUAGCUCUGAUGUAGAGCUGCCUCCUGUCAUGAAGUAAACAGCACUUGCUGCAACUGGCAGACUUCUGUUUGUUUCCCUCAGAGCAUUUAGAGGGCUGUGUAGCUGCUGGGCUGUUCCCAACAGGUGUGAGGUCCUUGUCUGUGCAGUGUAAUGAAUCGUAUUCCACUGAGACUUGAAUGAGCCUCCAGGAAUUUGUGAGCUGAUGAAGGGAUUUCUGAGCCAAAGUUCCCGACCUGAAUAAGGUUGGCAGCUCUAGUGGACACGCCGAUUGCUGGUGAUUGUGCCCUUCUGGCUGUGGAGCACCUUGGGGAAGCAGUGGCCUGAAGCUGUUCUUGUCUCUGGCAGUUGCGGGGCACGCUUGGAUCUCUGCUGCAGCUCUUCUGGUGUGUAUGACGGGUGGUUUUCAGGGAUGUGAUGGGCAGCAUUGCAGCCUGGAGCGCUUGUCUGGCGGUGCUCAGGGGUGUAAUGGCCUGCCGGGUUCCUCCUCUGCCUCUGUCCCAGGGCGGAGCUGUCCUGCCCUUUCAAGCAGCCCUUCCUUUCCUGGGCAGUUGAUCCGUGCUGUGCUUGAGGGAGAGAUCUUGGUUGUGGCUGUGUCCUGCCUGCCUCGGCUGGCAAAUGCUGCGGUUGUGGUUGGCGUGUGGCCGUGGGGAUCCUGGGGACAGUACCCUGGAGUGAGUGCAGUGAUCCCUGAGGUUGAAGAGAGGCUUGGGAUGAGGCGAAGAGACUUGGAGCCACCAUUUUCCCAGAAUGACACUUCUGCUGAAAGCUCCUGCUCAGAAAGUGAACAUAACCUUGUCUUCUCCACGUCACCGACACGCAUGUGUCAAAGAGGGGGACCCAGAAGUUCUCGGGGCCCUGGCAGCGAGAGCAGCAGCAAAUGGUGUUGGAGAGUUUCUGUGAGCCCCUGUUUGGUGUUCCAGGUGCUGCAAGGCUUUGGCCCAACUGCUGGGAGCCACUGGACCCUUGAUGAGCAUUGACUGCGCUUGUGGAGGGCCUGGCCACGUGGGCAUUCCUGGGAGGAGGAGGUUUGUGAGUGGAAUGGCCGAUCUGCAUGAGACAGGGGGUGAACUCUCACUGCCUAGAGGCUGCAGCUGGGCCUUUGAGGGGAUGAGAGGCAAAUCCUGCCAGGAGCUGGAGCCUCUUCUCCUGCUAACAGCCCUCCCUGACACACCUGGCCCAGCUGUGAAAGUUUCUUUUCCCUUAUGUGUUUCCUUAAGUAGUAAUUUCAUCCUUUUGUAUUGCUGUGUGACAGCAGAUAGUAAGAACCCGUUGGCUGCAUAGGUGCUUUUCAUUGCAGCCAAAUGGUUUGAAAUGAAGCCUGUAGGUCUAUCUGUGUACGUGUUUGCAAACAGGGUUCUUCCAGUCUUUCACUCUAAGCCACCCCAAAGAGAUUUGUAAACAAGAACCGAAGUAGCUCUGACCUUGCCGGGGAUGGAACCACCAUGUGUAAAACAACAAGGCUGUGUUUAUUUUAUCUCUUUACUCCAAGUGCCCUGGAGUGAGUGCAGUGACCCCUAAAGUUGGAGAGGCGCUUGGGAUGACACAAGGAGACUUGGAGAAACCAUUUUGCAGACUCACACUUGUGUUGAAAGCUCUGUGGCAGUGCUGAGUGUUGCAGAGUGGCUUGAAGGGCUUGCGAGAGCCGACCAGGGAAUGGAGGAAUUGGCUCCAGCGGGGUCCUUGGCAAAUGCUGGAUGAGAACUGACACAGAAUUUCUUGAGACCCUGGCAGAGAGAGAGAAGCAGCAAAUGGUGUUGGGAGAGUUUCUGUGAGUACCUGUGAGAUCAUGGGCUUCUUACAGCUUAAGAAAGGAUCUGGAUAGGAAAAGACCUCUUUUUCCAUGAAACCCUCAUGUGGAACAUCUGAACAAAGAGGAUGGGAUGAGACUUCUUGGAGCCUAGAAAUGAGGUGAUGUGAGUAUUUUUGAUAGCAGCAGAGCAUCUGGAACCAGUUGGCAGAAGACUCUGCAAGGUAAGUGCAGAGCUGAAUGAUACAAGCAGGAAAACAUCUGGGGCUGGGUUUGGACUUCUCAAGGCCUUGUAGAUUCCUCUCUCCAACCGCCACUUGUCAGUAGAGCUGGAUCGCUAUCCUUCAGCGGACCGUCAGUGUCUGGUGUUCCUGGCAUUUUAGUAGCUUGAGUUUUUCCCAAGGAAGAGCAUCCUGGUCUUGCUCUUGUGUUGAGACAGCUUAGUGCCCUUUUGGACCUCCUUCAAGGAGUAGGAGGAGCCUGGAUUUGUGUUUCUUGGAUGGUGCCGACCUUCAAGACAAGGACUAAAGGGGAGUGCCAAGGCAACAGGGCCGGCUCUGGAAGUCAGGAAUGGUUGUGCUCUUCUGUCCUGGUUCUGCUUAAGAGAUGGCUCAGGGCUGCUGAAGUGCUGAGGGCUGAACAAACAGCCCUCACCUUUGAGCCAAAGCUGAGCUCUUGAUGGAACCUUCCAGCCUAAUGCUGUGUUUGUACGUGUUCAUUAACAAAGUCCACAGGAUCAUUAGCGUUAGGGCCUAGGUAUCUGCUCACUGACAAAACAGGGAUUGACCUUUCUGUGCCUGAGAAGCUGGACAAAGCCACAAAAUCAGACCUCUUGCCUUGCUGGCAGCUCCUGGGUUUUUCCCCGAGCCCCGGCCAGGCUUGGGGCCCAAUCCACGAGGAAGCCGAGCCCGGCUGUUGCCGUACUGGACGUUGUGUCAGGCUGUUGCUGGCACCCAAUUGUCCGAGCUGGGCCCUGUCCCAGCAGAGCUGUAAGUCUCUUUGCCGGCGGGUGGACGCGCCCAUGGGAAGUCCCGGUUAUGGGAGAGGCUCUCCAGUGCUUGGCUGGGACAGGGGGUUCCCAGCUCACGGGCUGUGGCUCUGGAGGAUGGUGCAGCCUUAGGCUGUGACUGGUGCUGUAUCUUAAUCACUGUGGGCAAUUGGCCAAACGCAGGCACCCAUGAAAGUUGUUCACUCGCUCUCUGCUGCUCUAGUUGGGCAAAGGAGAGGGGGGAAAAAAAAUUAAUGAGGUGUUCAUGAGUUAAUAACUGGGAGAAAAACACUCUACGGUCAAAACAGGUUCAAAUUUAAAGAUGUAAGGUUAAUUUAUUAUUAACAGAGUCAGGGAAUGAUAGUGUGAAGUAAAUUAAGCCUUUAAAACACCUUGUAUUUUUUUCCCUCCCAGCCCCUUCCUCUUUCCUACCGACAGUGCAGGAAGACAGGGCAUGGGGGUUUUGGUCAGCUCAUUAUUUGAAUUUUUCUUCUGUUUGCUCAGGGAGAGGAGGUUUUUUUUUUUUUUUUUUUUUUUUCCUCUGGUAUGCUGUAGGGUCCCUCCUGCAGGCCAAGAGCCUUUCCAGAGCUGUUGUGUCACAGGUUCCUCAUGCACAGGGUGCAGUUUUUUAGGGCUUGGUUGCUCUAGUUUAGAGGCAAGGGCUCUCUUUAUCUCUAGAAGCAGGUGCCCUCUCUCUCUUCCUAUUCAGGUCUCCCACUGGAUCAAAGCGCUCUCUGGCUUCCACCCCCUCUCAGCCCCCCAUGAGUGCUUUCCCCACGGGCUGUGAGUGGAUCUCUGCAUCCUCUGUGGACUUAAUGCAAAGUGACAGGGCCACAACUUGUUUCAUCACAGUCCUCACUACAGUUUGCAGAGGAAUCUCAGCUGUGCUGAGCACUUCUUCCCUCUUUUGUCCGUUGACCUUGGUGCCACCAUGUUGUUUUCCAGCACAUUCUCACUUCCUCCUCUUCUCUGACUAGAAGAAAAGCUGCUGCUCGUAGGUGCUACUGCUAGAAGGUCUCACCAUGUCCUGGUUUGGGACAAAUUUGGGAGAAAAACCCUUGUAUAGGAUCCCUCUAAGGAAGCAAACCCAAGUGACCCCUCCCUCCAACCGGUCCGGUAAAAAAACCUCUUUGGAGAAAAGUGGAAAAAACUAUU